UUCCUACGGGUGGCAGCAGUGGGGAAUAUUGGGCAAUGGGCGAAAGCCUGACCCAGCGACGCCGCGUGGGCGAUGAAGGCCUUCGGGUUGUAAAGCCCUGUCAUGCGGAAAGAACGACCCUGAGACGCAUACUCUCAGGGAGUGACGGUACCGCAGGAGGAAGCACCGGCUAACUCCGUGCCAGCAGCCGCGGUAAUACGGAGGGUGCAAGCGUUGUUCGGAAUUAUUGGGCGUAAAGGGCGCGUAGGCGGUAAUGUAAGUCAGAUGUGAAAUACUUCGGCUCAACUGAAGAACUGCAUCUGAAACUACAUAACUAGAGUACAGAAGAGGGAAACGGAAUUCCCGGUGUAGAGGUGAAAUUCGUAGAUAUCGGGAGGAACACCAGUGGCGAAGGCGGUUUCCUGGUCUGAUACUGACGCUGAGGCGCGAAAGUGUGGGGAGCAAACAGGAUUAGAUACCCCUGUAGUCGUC
RNAcentral lists this ribosomal RNA (471 nucleotides) under uncultured Syntrophorhabdaceae bacterium. Its description in RNAcentral is "bacterial SSU rRNA". It matches the Rfam family "Bacterial small subunit ribosomal RNA", at positions 336 to 798 of the family's 1533-position model. Lineage: Bacteria; Pseudomonadati; Thermodesulfobacteriota; Syntrophorhabdia; Syntrophorhabdales; Syntrophorhabdaceae. The record is from RNAcentral.